Macaca fascicularis (crab-eating macaque) is the source of this 103-nucleotide small nucleolar RNA. The record is from Ensembl. Lineage: Eukaryota; Metazoa; Chordata; Mammalia; Primates; Cercopithecidae.
AUCCCUCUAUAGUUUAUAAGUAUGGUGAUUGGGCUUCAUACUCAUGUGUGAGAUGUGCCUCCCUCAAACUGUCUCAUAGCACCAAUAUGUGACCCAUCCCAUG